UACAGAGGUCCCGAGCGUUGUUCGGAUUCAUUGGGCGUAAAGGGUGCGUAGGCGGUUUUCUAAGUCUGAUGUAUAAGUUCAAGGCUCAACCUUGGGACGCAUUGGAAACUGGGGGACUGGAGUGUAGGAGAGGAAAGUGGAAUUCCACGUGUAGCGGUGAAAUGACGCAGAUAUCAGGAGGAACACCUAUUGCGAAGGCAGCUCGCUGGGACGUUACUGACGCUGAGACGCGAAAGCGUGGGGAGCAAACAGG
RNAcentral lists this ribosomal RNA (253 nucleotides) under uncultured bacterium. Its description in RNAcentral is "partial 16S ribosomal RNA". It matches the Rfam family "Bacterial small subunit ribosomal RNA", at positions 524 to 776 of the family's 1533-position model. The record is from RNAcentral.